This 497-nucleotide ribosomal RNA is filed under the name uncultured bacterium. RNAcentral's name for it is "partial 16S ribosomal RNA". It matches the Rfam family "Bacterial small subunit ribosomal RNA", at positions 28 to 507 of the family's 1533-position model. The record is from RNAcentral.
GAUGAACGCUGGCGGCGUGCCUAAUACAUGCAAGUCGAGCGAACAGAUGAGGAGCUUGCUCCUCUGACGUUAGCGGCAGACGGGUGAGUAACACGUGUAUAACCUACCUAUAAGACUGGGAUAACUUCGGGAAACCGGAGCUAAUACCGGAUAAUAUAUUGAACCGCAUGGUUCAAUAGUGAAAUACGGUUUUUCUGUCACUUAUAGAUGGAUCCGCGCCGCAUUAGCUAGUUGGUAAGCUAACGGCUUACCAAGGCAACGAUGCGUAGCCGAACUGAGAGGGUGAUAGGCGACCCUGGAACUGAGACAGGGUCAAGACUCCUACGGGAGGCAGCAGUAGGGAAUCUUACGCAAUGGGGGAAAGCAUGACGGAGCAACGCCGCGUGAGUGAUGAAGGUCUUCGGAUCGUAAAACUCUGUUAUUAGGGAAGAACAAAUGUGUAAGUAACUAUGCACGUAUUGACGGUACCUAAUCAGAAAGCAACGGCUAACUACGUG